This 254-nucleotide ribosomal RNA is filed under the name uncultured bacterium. RNAcentral's name for it is "partial 16S ribosomal RNA". It matches the Rfam family "Bacterial small subunit ribosomal RNA", at positions 524 to 776 of the family's 1533-position model. The record is from RNAcentral.
UACGAAGGGGGCUAGCGUUGCUCGGAAUCACUGGGCGUAAAGGGUGCGUAGGCGGGUCUUUAAGUCAGGGGUGAAAUCCUGGAGCUCAACUCCAGAACUGCCUUUGAUACUGAAGAUCUUGAGUUCGGGGAGAGGUGAGUGGAACUGCGAGUGUAGAGGUGAAAUUCGUAGAUAUUCGCAAGAACACCAGUGGCGAAGGCGGCUCACUGGCCCGAUACUGACGCUGAGGCACGAAAGCGUGGGGAGCAAACAGG